RNAcentral lists this ribosomal RNA (427 nucleotides) under uncultured bacterium. RNAcentral's name for it is "partial 16S ribosomal RNA". It matches the Rfam family "Bacterial small subunit ribosomal RNA", at positions 355 to 774 of the family's 1533-position model. The record is from RNAcentral.
UGGGGAAUAUUGGACAAUGGGCGAAAGCCUGAUUCAGCCAUGCCGCGUGUGUGAAGAAGGUCUUCGGAUUGUAAAGCACUUUAAGUUGGGAGGAAGGGCAUUAACCUAAUACGUUAGUGUUUUGACGUUACCGACAGAAUAAGCACCGGCUAACUCUGUGCCAGCAGCCGCGGUAAUACAGAGGGUGCAAGCGUUAAUCGGAAUUACUGGGCGUAAAGCGCGCGUAGGUGGUUUGUUAAGUUGGAUGUGAAAUCCCCGGGCUCAACCUGGGAACUGCAUUCAAAACUGACUGACUAGAGUAUGGUAGAGGGUGGUGGAAUUUCCUGUGUAGCGGUGAAAUGCGUAGAUAUAGGAAGGAACACCAGUGGCGAAGGCGACCACCUGGACUAAUACUGACACUGAGGUGCGAAAGCGUGGGGAGCAAACA